This 207-nucleotide ribosomal RNA is filed under the name uncultured bacterium. RNAcentral describes it as "partial 16S ribosomal RNA". It matches the Rfam family "Bacterial small subunit ribosomal RNA", at positions 568 to 774 of the family's 1533-position model. The record is from RNAcentral.
UCUGUAGGUGGCUUGCUAAGUCAGACGUGAAAUCCCUCAGCUUAACUGGGGAACUGCGUCUGAGACUGGCGAGCUUGAGUGCAGGAGAGGAACGCGGAAUUCCAGGUGUAGCGGUGAAAUGCGUAGAUAUCUGGAGGAACACCGGUGGCGAAGGCGGCGUUCUGGACUGCAACUGACACUGAUAGACGAAAGCCAGGGGAGCAAACG